This 1191-nucleotide long non-coding RNA is filed under the name Phasianus colchicus (ring-necked pheasant). Its description in RNAcentral is "lncRNA (ENSPCLG00000019815.1)". Lineage: Eukaryota; Metazoa; Chordata; Aves; Galliformes; Phasianidae. The record is from RNAcentral.
CCCUCCCCACGGCUGUCCCCCCGCAGAGCCGUGCAGCCCUGCCUCAGCCUGCUGAGCUUCGACUGCGAGCGGCUGGAGAGGAAGCUGCAGGCGCUGCACCGUGCGCAGCUCCCCGCGCCGCCCGCCCUGCAGCAGCAGCACCAGGAGCUGCGGCAGCGCCUGCAGGCCCUGCGCUCACAGCUGCAGCACGGCGGCCCCGCAUGGCGCGCAGGUGGGACCCGGCCCCGCACCCGCCCUCAGGGCCCGAUCCGUCCCCGUUGGUCCCAUUGGGUCCCCAUUGGGUCCCCGUUGGGUCCCCCUUGUGUCCCCAUUGCGUCCCCUUUGUGUCCCCCUUGUGUCCCCAUUGGAUCCCAUUGGGUCCCCGUUGGGUCCCCAUUGGGUCCCAUUGGGUCCCCCUUGUGUCCCUCUUGUCUCCCCAUUGUGUCCCCGUUGGGUCCCCAUUGGAUCCCAUUGGGUCCCCGUUGAGUCCCAUUGGGUCCCCAUUGUGUCCCCGUUGGGUCCCAUUGGGUUCCCUGCUCCCCGUUGGGUCCCAUUGGGUCCCCUUUGUGUCCCCAUUGGGUCCCCCUUGUGUCCCCCUUGUGUCCCAUUGGGUCCCCUGCUCCCCAUUGGGUCCCAUUGGGUCCCCUUUGUGUCCCUCUUGUGUCCCCAUUGGGUCCCCCUUGUGUCUCCAUUGGAUCCCAUUGGGUCCCCUUUGUGUCCCCGUUGGGUCCCCGUUGUGUCCCCACUGUGUCCUCGUUGGAUCCCCAUCGGGUCCCAUUGGGUUCCCUGCUCCCCAUUGUGUCCCCAUUGGGUUCUCCAGUCCCUACAGUGACCCCAUUGGGUUCUCUGAUCCUCAGUGGGUCCCCAUUGUGUCCCCAUUGGGUUCCCUGCUCCCCACUGGGUUCCCUGCCCCCCCAUAUUGUCCCCAUUGUGUCCCCUGCCCCCAUAUUUUCCCCAUUGUGUCCCCAUUGGGUUCCCUGCUCCCCAUUGGGUUCCCUGUCCCCCAUAUUGUCCCCAUUGUGUCCCCAUGUUGUCCCCAUAUUGUCCCCAUAUUGUCCCCAUGUUGUCCCCAUGUUGUCCCCAUUGUGUCCCCAUAUUGUCCCCAUAUUGUCCCCAUAUUGUCCCCAUACUGUCCCCAUACUGUCCCCAUAUUGUCCCCAUUGUGUCCCCAUGUUGUCCCCAUGUUGUCCCCAUGUUGUCCCCAUUGUGUCC